This 302-nucleotide unclassified non-coding RNA is filed under the name Actinocheita filicina. RNAcentral's name for it is "partial external transcribed spacer". The record is from RNAcentral. Lineage: Eukaryota; Viridiplantae; Streptophyta; Magnoliopsida; Sapindales; Anacardiaceae.
GUUGUCCUUUCCGCCCCGUGCCCUCUGUGGGUGUGGGGUGGACGCCAGGCACGUAACGUGUUCCUCGCAUGCCUUGCCUUGUUGCGGGGCUGUUGAGGCCCACGGAGAUGUUGCCCGUUCUCUCGGAUGCGGAAUGUCAUGCACGGGUGCGGGGUCUCGGCCUUUGCUUGCCCAAGCUAUGCAUUUGUCCCUUGACACGAACGACUGCCGCGGUCGUCUUGAUCCCGUCCUAGCCUAUGUGCUGGUCGGGGCUCAUGCUGCCGUCGGCGUCGUCGAGGAAUGCUACCUGGUUGAUCCUGCCA